This 441-nucleotide ribosomal RNA is filed under the name uncultured bacterium. RNAcentral describes it as "partial 16S ribosomal RNA". It matches the Rfam family "Bacterial small subunit ribosomal RNA", at positions 338 to 795 of the family's 1533-position model. The record is from RNAcentral.
CCUACGGGUGGCAGCAGUGGGGGAUAUUGCACAAUGGGGGGAACCCUGAUGCAGCGACGCCGCGUGGGUGAAGAAGCGCCUCGGCGCGUAAAGCCCUGUCAGCAGGGAAGAAAAUGACGGUACCUGAAGAAGAAGCCCCGGCUAAUUACGUGCAAGCAGCCGCGGGAAUACGUAGGGGGAAAGCGUUAUCCGGAUUUACUGGGUGGAAGGGGGGCGCAGACGGCGAUGCAAGCAAGGAGGGAAAGCCCGGGGCCGAACCGCGGGAGUGAUCUUGGAACUGCGUGGCGGGAGUGCAGGAGGGGCAGGCGGAAUUCCUAGUGUAGCGGUGAAAUGCGUAGAUAUCAGGAGGAACACCGGUGGCGAAGGCGGCCUACUGGACUGCAACUGACGUUGAGGCCCGAAAGCGUGGGGAGCAAACAGGAUUAGAUACCCCUGGUAGUC